RNAcentral lists this ribosomal RNA (250 nucleotides) under uncultured bacterium. RNAcentral's name for it is "partial 16S ribosomal RNA". It matches the Rfam family "Bacterial small subunit ribosomal RNA", at positions 524 to 773 of the family's 1533-position model. The record is from RNAcentral.
UACGAACUGUGCAAACGUUAUUCGGAUUCACUGGGCUUACAGGGUGCGUAGGCGGCCUGUUAAGUAGGGUGUGAAAGCCCCCGGCUCAACCGGGGAAUGGCGCCCUAAACUGGCGGGCUGGAGUGAGAUAAGGGUGUGUGGAACUUCCGGUGGAGCGGUGAAAUGUGUUGAUAUCGGAAGGAACGCCGGUGGCGAAAGCGACACACUGGGUCUCAACUGACGCUGAGGCACGAAAGCCAGGGGAGCGAAC